Molecule: ribosomal RNA, 775 nt
Filed under: uncultured Neocallimastigales
Lineage: Eukaryota; Fungi; Neocallimastigomycota; Neocallimastigomycetes; Neocallimastigales
Description: partial large subunit ribosomal RNA
Rfam family: Eukaryotic large subunit ribosomal RNA
Source: RNAcentral
AGAGAGAGACAUGCGCGCAUAUCAAUAAGCGGAGGAAAAGAAACUAACAAGGAUUCCCUUAGUAACGGCGAGUGAAGCGGGAAGAGCUCAAAUUUGAAAUCUUCAAGGUUUUACCUUGACGAAUUGUAGUUUAAAGAAGUGUUUUCUGCUGAAGUUUUGGUAAAAGUUCUUUGGAAUAGGACAUCAUAGAGGGUGAGAAUCCCGUAUUUGACCAUUAUUUUCAGCUUUGUGAUACACUUUCAAAGAGUCGGAUUGUUUGGGAAUGCAGUCCAAAAUGGGUGGUAAAUUUCAUCUAAAGCUAAAUAUUGGCGAGAGACCGAUAGCGAACAAGUACCGCGAGGGAAAGAUGAAAAGAACUUUGAAAAGAGAGUUAAACAGUACGUGAAAUUGUCAAAAGGGAAGCGUUUGACACCAGUGUUGUUUUCUCGAAAAUCAAUUAAAAAUGGCUCGAUUUUGUAUUGCUGAGACCUUAAAAGCUCACUGUACAUUUUUCGUGUCUUUUUUAAUGCACUUUUCGUUUAACAAGUCAACAUCAGUUUCUUUUGUUGUAAAAGGGUCAUUGGAAGGUGGCUUUCUUUUCGGAGAAAGUGUUUAUAGCCUUUGGCCUCUGCAGUCGGAAGAGACUGAGGUCUGCAGCGUAGACUCUUCGGGGUUAGAUACAUUUGUGCUAAGUUAUAGCUUUUUAUAGACAACUUGUUGACUAUAAUUAGUCUUGUAGCUUACUCGCUUAUGCUAUUUUACCUACGCUUAGGAUGUUGAAGAUGUAGCACAUCAU